CCUACGGGAGGCAGCAGUGAGGAAUAUUGGUCAAUGGGCGCAAGCCUGAACCAGCCAUGCCGCGUGCAGGACGACGCAUCUAUGGUGUGUAAACUGCUUUUGUACGGGAAGAAACCCUGCCACGUGUGGCAGAUUGACGGUACCGUAAGAAUAAGGAUCGGCUAACUCCGUGCCAGCAGCCGCGGUAAUACGGAGGAUCCAAGCGUUAUCCGGAAUCAUUGGGUUUAAAGGGUCCGUAGGCGGUUUUAUAAGUCAGUGGUGAAAUCCGGCAGCUCAACUGUCGAACUGCCAUUGAUACUGUAGGACUUGAAUUAUUGUGAAGUAACUAGAAUAUGUAGUGUAGCGGUGAAAUGCUUAGAUAUUACAUGGAAUACCCAUUGCGAAGGCGGGUUACUAACAAUAUAUUGACGCUGAUGGACGAAAGCGUGGGGAGCGAACAGGAUUAGAUACCCUGGUAGUCCACGCCGUAAACGAUGGAUACUANCUGUUCGGUAGUGCAAAUACUGAGUGGUCGUAAGACGAAAGUAGAAGUAAAGUAAGUUACCACCCGUCGGGGUAGGGUACGGUUAACGACGUAAGUUAGUUAAACGUAACAAAUUAGAAGUUAGUUACGGCGUUGAGGACGUUAGCCGAACGGACGACCGACGAGGGGAGGUUAGGGAGG
Molecule: ribosomal RNA, 664 nt
Filed under: uncultured bacterium
Lineage: Bacteria
Description: bacterial SSU rRNA
Rfam family: Bacterial small subunit ribosomal RNA (bases 1-548)
Source: RNAcentral